ACGUGUGUUCUUCCAAUCUGAGUACAGUUGAACAGAGCAGGCUGCUGUGCCUAUCAGCUUUGUUUCCACUCUGCCUGGUUCCAUCAUCUUGCCAUAUCCUAG
Vicugna pacos (alpaca) is the source of this 102-nucleotide non-coding RNA. The record is from RefSeq and is a predicted model, not a curated record. NCBI's taxonomy places the organism in Eukaryota, Metazoa, Chordata, Mammalia, Artiodactyla, Camelidae.